CUUCAUAUUUUCUGUUGCCUCCCUUCGCUCCGCCUGCGUCGUCUCGGCCCUGCUGUCACCAGAGCUCGGCCCGAAGCGACCGGCCCGGCCCGGGUUCCCCCGCCCGCUGUGACAGCGCAGGGCCGGGCGCCCUUGGCGGCUUUCUGCUUUGGUUCUGCGCUCUGAGGGGAGGGAAUUUUGUGUUUCUGGUGCGGGGCGUUUUAUUUUUUGACGCGGCAGGCGGAGGUGCGGGAAUGGGCAGGAGUCUUAGACGGGAGUGCGGUAGUUGUUAGUCUCCCUUUUCCGCCACCGCCAUGCCGGCUUUUCUUUCUGAUUUCUGUUUUUCCUUCUGUUUUCCCCUCGCUUCCCGCGCCGCCCCUCAGGCUCCCUCAGGCUCGGCGGUGGCGCGGGGCACCACGGGAAGGGCUUUUCCCGUCGCCGCCAGCCGAGCGUGAGGGACCCUGGGCGGCGACGGGAGAGGAGGAGGCUGUGCUGGGCGAGCAGCGGGGCACGGAAAGUGAACCUUACUUUUCACACCAUGGAGUACCUGUGACUGCUCCUGACCUCUCUUUAGCAGCCCAGAUUCUUCUAGGAUGUGACCACGGAGUGCCUGUCACUGCCAGGGACCUCCUGGCUCCAUAGAAACCCCAGAGAGCCCUGUGAUGUCACCGUGGAAGCCUUGUGAGUGCAGCCUUCCACACCCUUGGAAUGUCACUGUAAAGUACCUGUGAGUGCCUGUGAUAUCACAGCUGCUUAGCAGCCUGGAGACACUUGUGGUAUUGCCAUUGAGACCCUGUGACAGCCUGUGAAGUCAGUGUGGUUUGGCAAAUGAGAGACUCCUGGAAUGUCACCACGGAGCCCUUGGGAUUGCACAUGACCUCAGUGUUCUUUAGGAUCAUAGAGGCGACUGGGAUGUAACCAUGGAACCUCAGUGAGUGCCUGUGCCAAAUGGGCUCCAUGGCAUGUAGAGACACCUCUGUUGUCCUCUGGUGACGGCUUGGGACCUCACAAGUCUUUGGAAGAUGAAAGCAGUCUGACACAUCACCAUGGAGUCACUGUGGCCUCAUGUGCUCUUCAGAAACCCAUAGAGACUUGAGAUGUCACCAUGGACACCCUGUGCCUGUUUGUGAUCUCUCUCGUUUUGAACAGGCUGGAGACAGCUCUGAUGUCACCAUGGACUGCAGUGGGUACUGGUGGUUCAGGGAGGUGAGGGCAGGGGAAGGAACGUGUGGCAGGUCUUGCCAGGAGCCGUUCUGGCACUCAGCAGGGACAGCACCAGAACCCAGGCCUGGGA
Oenanthe melanoleuca is the source of this 1273-nucleotide long non-coding RNA. RefSeq lists it as uncharacterized. The transcript has 3 exons. Lineage: Eukaryota; Metazoa; Chordata; Aves; Passeriformes; Muscicapidae. The record is from RefSeq and is a predicted model, not a curated record.